RNAcentral lists this ribosomal RNA (751 nucleotides) under Escherichia coli. RNAcentral describes it as "partial 23S ribosomal RNA". It matches the Rfam family "Bacterial large subunit ribosomal RNA", at positions 459 to 1212 of the family's 2925-position model. Lineage: Bacteria; Pseudomonadati; Pseudomonadota; Gammaproteobacteria; Enterobacterales; Enterobacteriaceae. The record is from RNAcentral.
UCCAAGGCUAAAUACUCCUGACUGACCGAUAGUGAACCAGUACCGUGAGGGAAAGGCGAAAAGAACCCCGGCGAGGGGAGUGAAAAAGAACCUGAAACCGUGUACGUACAAGCAGUGGGAGCCUCUUUAUGGGGUGACUGCGUACCUUUUGUAUAAUGGGUCAGCGACUUAUAUUCUGUAGCAAGGUUAACCGAAUAGGGGAGCCGAAGGGAAACCGAGUCUUAACUGGGCGUUAAGUUGCAGGGUAUAGACCCGAAACCCGGUGAUCUAGCCAUGGGCAGGUUGAAGGUUGGGUAACACUAACUGGAGGACCGAACCGACUAAUGUUGAAAAAUUAGCGGAUGACUUGUGGCUGGGGGUGAAAGGCCAAUCAAACCGGGAGAUAGCUGGUUCUCCCCGAAAGCUAUUUAGGUAGCGCCUCGUGAAUUCAUCUCCGGGGGUAGAGCACUGUUUCGGCAAGGGGGUCAUCCCGACUUACCAACCCGAUGCAAACUGCGAAUACCGGAGAAUGUUAUCACGGGAGACACACGGCGGGUGCUAACGUCCGUCGUGAAGAGGGAAACAACCCAGACCGCCAGCUAAGGUCCCAAAGUCAUGGUUAAGUGGGAAACGAUGUGGGAAGGCCCAGACAGCCAGGAUGUUGGCUUAGAAGCAGCCAUCAUUUAAAGAAAGCGUAAUAGCUCACUGGUCGAGUCGGCCUGCGCGGAAGAUGUAACGGGGCUAAACCAUGCACCGAAGCUGCGGCAGCGAC